Molecule: long non-coding RNA, 295 nt
Filed under: Panax ginseng (ginseng)
Lineage: Eukaryota; Viridiplantae; Streptophyta; Magnoliopsida; Apiales; Araliaceae
Description: long non-coding RNA (PGIN_LNC002639)
Source: RNAcentral
UUUAUUAUUACAACAGUAAAACUGUGAGUUUGAAUACAAAUAUUAUCUUCUAGACAAUAUCUAUACUCAAAUAAAUCCUCAUCACAUUUAUUGAUACAUUAUUUUACAAAAAUGGUGAGGACUACUAAACAACUCUCUCUAGAACCUUCAUUCCAUACCCCGACUCGUACUCGCUAUAUUCUCGCCUCCUGAGAAGAAAAAUGGAACAAAAAGGAAAAUGGUGAGCUCAACUAGCCCAGUAAAGAAUAUUAUGACUAAGAUAAUAUACAACAAAUUAUCGUUAGUCUUCAACAGG